Molecule: ribosomal RNA, 418 nt
Filed under: uncultured bacterium
Lineage: Bacteria
Description: partial 16S ribosomal RNA
Rfam family: Bacterial small subunit ribosomal RNA
Source: RNAcentral
UUUGGACAAUGGGGGCAACCCUGAUCCAGCCAUCCCGCGUGUGCGAUGAAGGCCUUCGGGUUGUAAAGCACUUUUGGCAGGGAAGAAAAGCCGCGGGUUAUUACCCUGCGGUGCGGACGGUACCUGCGGAAUAAGCACCGGCUAACUACGUGCAAGCAGCCGCGGUAAUACGUAGGGUGAAAGCGUUAAUCGGAAUUACUGGGCGUAAAGCGUGCGCAGGCGGUUCGACAAGAAGGAUGUGAAAUCCCGGGGCUUAACCUCGGAACUGCAUUCUUAACUGCCGGGCUAGAGUAUGUCAGAGGGGGGUAGAAUUCCGCGUGUAGCAGUGAAAUGCGUGGAGAUGCGGAGGAAUACCGAUGGCGAAGGCAGCCCCCUGGGAUAAUACUGACGCUCAUGCACGAAAGCGUGGGGAGCAAAC